Long non-coding RNA from Toxotes jaculatrix (banded archerfish), 79 nucleotides. RefSeq lists it as uncharacterized. The transcript has 3 exons. Lineage: Eukaryota; Metazoa; Chordata; Actinopteri; Toxotidae. The record is from RefSeq and is a predicted model, not a curated record.
AAAAUGCUGAUCAGGCCCAGUUGAUUCUGAUUGUGUAUCAAGAUGGCAAGAGGAAAAGAUCUAAGGGACUUUGAACACA